Molecule: long non-coding RNA, 1060 nt
Filed under: Marmota monax (woodchuck)
Lineage: Eukaryota; Metazoa; Chordata; Mammalia; Rodentia; Sciuridae
Source: RNAcentral
GCUCUGUCAGCCUUUGCUAUUCUCAGAUUAUUCCUCUUAAAAAACCAACCAACCAACCAACAAAAAAACAAAAACCAAACGAACAAACAAACCUCACAUCUCUUGUGCCAUCACAGAAGAAACUGAAAGCACUCACUUCAUUUUUAUUAUGCAGAGCAAUUUGGUCAGCUGAGAUUCAUCCUUCCCAUCCUUCCUCUGCCCUUGACCUUUAAUUUUAUCAUUUAUGUUACCUUUCAUAAUAGGUGGCUCUUUUAGGCACUGAUUAUGAGCAGUUAAUGAAUUUGGGGGAGCUGAUGUGAAAGUAAAGGGGAUGUUGUAACAAAUGAGAAUCCUUAUUUUGCCAUUUAUUGACUAUGUCUCUAUGCAGGUAUACAGUUUUUGUCUUUAUUUAGCUGUUUUUGUCUUCAUCCCUCAUCUAUAAAAAUAAGGUUAAUAUCAAGUGUAUUACAGAGUGACUGUGAGAAUUAAUAUGAUAAUACAUAAAGAGCAAUUUGUCCCAUAGGAGGCCCAAAAAUGAAAGCUGAUGAUCUAAUUAAGACUGAGGUGGGGCCAGGCACAUGAGCAUGUACCUGCAAUCCCAACAAGUUAGGAGACUGAGGAAGGAGGACCACAAAGUCCAGACCAGUCUCAGCAACUUAGUGAGGCCUUGAUUCAAAAUAAAGAAUAAAAUGGGCUGGGAUACAGCUCAGUGGUAAAGCAUCCCUGGGUUUAAUCCCUAGUGCCCUCCCCCCCAAUAAAAGGACUGAGGAGAGGGAAGGGAGAAGGGAAUAAAAAUGUUUUGUAAGUUGUUGAUUUACAAUAAAUUCUCCAAAGAGAUUUUCUUUCAAAAUAUUACUGAUUAAAAAGGUUAUCAUCAGGGGAAAACAUCUUAGGUAAGAAAUGGAAAAAUUUUUAGCAUAAAGCUAAUUUUCUAAUAUUUGAGCAAAGCUGAGAGUGGGGAGCGAUUGGUUGGAAACAGUCCCUUACCAUGGAUCACUAUCUUGACCUUGUUUUUUGUGAAAUGGAGAGAGUGUGUGGUCAGCUGCUCCUGAGGUCCCACACACCUGGAAAUCUGUGUCUU